Long non-coding RNA from Polypterus senegalus (gray bichir), 1341 nucleotides. RefSeq lists it as uncharacterized. The record is from RefSeq and is a predicted model, not a curated record. The transcript has 5 exons. Lineage: Eukaryota; Metazoa; Chordata; Cladistia; Polypteriformes; Polypteridae.
ACGAGGAAGUAAGAACGGUGCAAGCUGAGCAGAGGUUUUGGUUCAGAAAACCACAUUAAAACUUUUAGAACUUCUCUUACGUCCUGUUAAUUAUGUUAUAGCUUAUAAUUAUUUAUCUUUUUAUCACUCUGCCUAUUCAGUUCAUUUAUUUUUAAUAUUAUUCGUUUUGCACUUUCCAUUGUUGAGUGAGACCGGGAACAGAGUGUGAUGCGGGAGAAUUGAAAGUUCCAGAAACAAUUCAUUACCGUUUUGACUUGAAUGAUGUCUGAGUUACAAAAAGAGAUUAAGCAAACCUUACUGUGAGUAAUACCAGGCCUUCCUGACGAGCCACUCAAUCAGUCAGUUGAGAAAUGUGUAGGCUGAGGAGUAGAAGAUUUAAUGUACGUGAAAGAAGAGGACAUCUUAAGAGUUCAUACAACCUGUUCAGUGCCAAACUGUUCACAUGGUAAGUCCGACAAUAAGCUAAUUAUGUUGUGCACAUUGUUUGUUGUGACACUCUAGAACUGAUAUCUCAUUACAUUUUUCAGAACAAAGAAACGGCAUUUUGGUUCAGUAAUUAGUUUGACCUAUAGGUCUCCUCAAAAUUCACCACAAAUGAGCUCCUCAGGCUCCUCAGUAAGAAAAUGGAUGGACUCACGCUUCAAGCAGAUGAACACUCAACUUGCCUGACAGUCCUUGCAUUAUAAUUCUUGGUCAAACUCUAAGCAACCAGCAGUGGAUGGUGAGCAUUGAAGGUCACGUUGUAUGUGAGGGAACACAACUCAGCUUUGUCUGUGGCCGUACUGCUGUGUUUGCUUCAUGUGUGGACACUUUUUCUUUGGUGUCGUUUCUUGUGACUGAAGACAGAGAAAGCAAAAUUAAAAUGAUAUAUUGACAUCAACCCUGAACAAAUGUCCAAGGCCAAUCAAGGAAAAGCUACAUCCAAGAAGACUAGCCAAGUAGUCCAUAACAAGAAGAACGCAGUAAACCCUCAUUUUUCCUAUCCACUUUGUAAGAUAAUGGACUUUGAACGGAAUUCAUUCAAGACCACUUUGUUCACUUUUAAUUUUGACAGUUUAGGCAAUUUUUGUCUAACAUGGUGUUCUUAUUCUAUUUUAAUGUGAAAGUCAACAUUGGUGUUAUACUUUUAAAUUUAGUAUUGAAUGCUGCACUAUGUUUAUUGCCAGUGUUUCCCACCUCUGUUGCAACCAUUUGUGUUUAUCUGAAAUAAUAAAAGACUGCUAACAAUUAAAAAAACUGGUAAUGUAAAAAGCUAAUCAAGACCAUAAAAAUAAAUGUUUAUUGGAAUGUUUCAAAUGAAAGAAGCAUUAUUUGUUUAAAUUAAUCUGUAAGUAAAUAUUG